AAAAAGAAUUAAAGAAUCGUCUGAUUUAUUUUGUGUGCGAUCACUCCGUUGCCGUUUCGCGGUGCACACAUCCAACUACCCCUGGUCCCCUUCCUCUCCCAGUCUCUCACACGGUCACACCGGUAUCCAUCCUCGUCUCUCGAUGCAGCCGCCGCUCGCAGUUCCCAUGGCCACUGCAGCUCCGCCCACCCUCGGCCUCCCCCUUCCCGCCGGCGCGCCCCAACUCCGCCCAACCCCUAGCCCGUCCUGCCACCGCUAGCGUGCCCCACCGUCGCCCCCACCCCAGGCCUCCUCCGUCCCGCCUCCGGGCCCACCCCCGGCCUCCCCCGUCCCGCCGCCGCGCCCCAGCUCCUCUGUCCGCCGCACCCCUAGCUCUUCGGUCCGCCGCGCCCGCCGCUCGUCCUUCCGGCGGCGCCCCAAGAUCCUAUGGCCAGCCGCGCGCUCUAGUUCGUCCGUGUCGGCAAGCUCGCGUCCCCCCGCAAGCCAACAGCUCGUCGUCUCCUCCCUCUCCCCAUGCGCCGCCACCGAAGACCAGGCCGGUUGACCGGAUCCGUGCCGUCGCAGCAAUGGGCGGCCGUGCCCGGCGUCCAGACAAGGAACUGUUUAACCUCGCACUGCAAAUAUGAGACGGUUAUGACUUAAGGACCAUGGAUGUGCAUCACGCGCUCGAUGAGAUGGACAAGGUGCACCUGGAGCGGGAGGAGAUGGACAAGAAACGAAACAAAGAACGUGCAGCCGUAAACCCGGUGAUAAAGCAUGAGCGUGAGAAGAUGGACCUCAAGAUGAAGCAUGUGGAUGCAGAGACGGAUAAGAAGUUGAUGUUGGAGCUUCAAGAAAUGGACAUUAAGGUAAAGCAAGAACACGCAGCCCUGGAUCAAGCAUUGAAGCUAGACUGUGAUAAAAUGGUCAAGGAGAUAAAGAAGAUCCGUAAGGACAUGGAUCAGAAGUUGCAGCACGAUCGUCAGGAGAUGGAUUCCAAAUCUUUGCCAGAGCAACUCCGCAUGGACCGCAUGGAAGCCAAGAUGAUGCUGGACCGUGCGAGGAUAGCUCCAAAGUUUAUAACCAUUGUAGGCUACCACUGACCAAAUACAGUUGCAUAUCCCUCCACCUGAAGAACCGGUUUCAUAUUUUCUCCCGGAAUGAAGAUGGCAUGAAUGAAGAGGGCCAAUUCGACCAUUUUACUUCAUGGGAGCCCAUCGAUAGAUGGGACGAAGGGCACACGCACGAACAUGGAUCAUCGCAACGAACGGAGCAACCUGCAUCGAACUCUCAUAACAAGGCAUUGACUUUUAGCAAUGGCAACGAGUACAUGGACGCAGAAUGCGCGCCGCAUUGAGAGAGAACUAGAUGAUGUUUGAAUGGGUUUUUAGCACAAUCUGAGUUUUGGACUACUGUAAUACCUCGGGCCUAUAUCCUUAAUGACAUUUACUUCAGCUUUUGUUUUCCCAAAAUAUGUAGCGUUAACACGCAGUAAGAUCGGAAGUAAUUGCUUCACUUUAUGCGAUUGCUUUUAUGGGCUA
This is an RNA transcript of Brachypodium distachyon (stiff brome), 1520 nucleotides long. RefSeq lists it as uncharacterized. The transcript has 5 exons. The record is from RefSeq and is a predicted model, not a curated record. NCBI's taxonomy places the organism in Eukaryota, Viridiplantae, Streptophyta, Magnoliopsida, Poales, Poaceae.